Molecule: ribosomal RNA, 916 nt
Filed under: uncultured archaeon
Lineage: Archaea
Description: SSU rRNA
Rfam family: Archaeal small subunit ribosomal RNA
Source: RNAcentral
UUUCCGGUUGAUCCUGCCGGACCUGACUGCUAUCGGAUUGAUACUAAGCCAUGCGAGUCUUUGUAGUAAUACAAGGCAGACGGCUCAGUAACACGUAGUCAACCUACCCUAUGGACGAGAAUAAUCUCGGGAAACUGAGCAUAAUUCUUGAUAGAUCAUAAUGCCUGGAAUGGUUUAUGGUUAAAAUGAUUCGUCGCCAUAGGAUGGGACUGCGGCCUAUCAGCUUGUUGGUGAGGUAAUGGCCCACCAAGGCGAUUACAGGUACGGGCUCUGAGAGGAGAAGCCCGGAGAUGGGUACUGAGACACGGACCCAGGCCCUAUGGGGCGCAGCAGGCGAGAAAACUUUGCAAUGUGCGAAAGCACGACAAGGUUAAUCCGAGUGAUUUCUGCUAAAGAAAUCUUUUGCCAGUCGUAAAACCACUGGUGAAUAAGGGGUGGGCAAGUUCUGGUGUCAGCCGCCGCGGUAAAACCAGCACCUCAAGUGGUCAGGAUGAUUAUUGGGCCUAAAGCAUCCGUAGCCGGCUUUGUAAGUUUUCGGUUAAAUCCAUGUGCUUAACGCAUGGGCUGCCGAAAAUACUGCAUGGCUAGGGAGUGGGAGAGGUAGACGGUACUCAGUAGGAAGGGGUAAAAUCCUUUGAUCUAUUGAUGACCACCUGUGGCGAAGGCGGUCUACCAGAACACGUUCGACGGUGAGGGAUGAAAGCUGGGGGAGCAAACCGGAUUAGAUACCCGGGUAGUCCCAGCUGUAAACGAUGCAGACUCGAUGAUGCAUUGGCAUAAUAGCCAUUGCAGUGUCGCAGGGAAGCCGUUAAGUCUGCCGCCUGGGAAGUACGUACGCAAGUAUGAAACUUAAAGGAAUUGGCGGGGGAGCACCACAAGGGGUGAAGCCUGCGGUUCAAUUGGAUUCAACGCCGGG